UACGGGGGGGGCUAGCGUUAUUCGGAAUCAUUGGGCGUAAAGGGCGCGUAGGCGGCGCGGUAAGUCAAAGGUGAAAUCCCUCGGCUCAACUGAGGAACUGCCUUUGAAACUGCCGUGCUUGAGUCCGGGAGGGGGUAGCGGAAUUCCCAGUGUAGCGGCGAAAUGCGUAGAUAUUGGGAGGAACACCAGUGGCGAAGGCGGCUACCUGGACCGGUACUGACGCUGAUGCGCGAAAGCGUGGGAGCAAACAGG
Molecule: ribosomal RNA, 252 nt
Filed under: uncultured bacterium
Lineage: Bacteria
Description: partial 16S ribosomal RNA
Rfam family: Bacterial small subunit ribosomal RNA
Source: RNAcentral